GACGAACGCUGGCGGCGUGCCUAAUACAUGCAAGUUGAGCGCUGAAGGUUGGUACUUGUACCGACUGGAUGAGCAGCGAACGGGUGAGUAACGCGUGGGGAAUCUGCCUUUGAGCGGGGGACAACAUUUGGAAACGAAUGCUAAUACCGCAUAAAAACUUUAAACACAAGUUUUAAGUUUGAAAGAUGCAAUUGCAUCACUCAAAGAUGAUCCCGCGUUGUAUUAGCUAGUUGGUGAGGUAAAGGCUCACCAAGGCGAUGAUACAUAGCCGACCUGAGAGGGUGAUCGGCCACAUUGGGACUGAGACACGGCCCAAACUCCUACGGGAGGCAGCAGUAGGGAAUCUUCGGCAAUGGACGAAAGUCUGACCGAGCAACGCCGCGUGAGGGAAGAAGGUUUUCGGAUCGUAAAACCCUGCUGGUAGAGAAGAACGUUGGUGAGAGUGGAAAGCUCAUCAAGUGACGGUAACUACCCAGAAAGGGACGGCUAACUACGUG
This 497-nucleotide ribosomal RNA is filed under the name uncultured bacterium. Its description in RNAcentral is "partial 16S ribosomal RNA". It matches the Rfam family "Bacterial small subunit ribosomal RNA", at positions 28 to 507 of the family's 1533-position model. The record is from RNAcentral.